RNAcentral lists this ribosomal RNA (495 nucleotides) under uncultured bacterium. Its description in RNAcentral is "bacterial SSU rRNA". It matches the Rfam family "Bacterial small subunit ribosomal RNA", at positions 29 to 518 of the family's 1533-position model. The record is from RNAcentral.
AGUGAACGCUGGCGGCAGGCCUAACACAUGCAAGUCGAGCGGCAGCGCGGGGGCAACCCUGGCGGCGAGCGGCGGACGGGUGAGGAACACAUCGGAAUCUACCUUCUUGUGGGGGAUAACGUAGGGAAACUUACGCUAAUACCGCAUAAGACCUGAGGGUGAAAGCAGGGGACCGCAAGGCCUUGCGCGAGAAGAUGAGCCGAUGUCCGAUUAGCUAGUUGGUGAGGUAAAGGCUCACCAAGGCGACGAUCGGUAGCUGGUCUGAGAGGAUGAUCAGCCACACUGGAACUGAGACACGGUCCAGACUCCUACGGGAGGCAGCAGUGGGGAAUAUUGGACAAUGGGCGCAAGCCUGAUCCAGCCAUGCCGCGUGUGUGAAGAAGGCCUUCGGGUUGUAAAGCACUUUUGUUGGGGAAGAAAAGACCGUGGUUAAUAACCGUGGUUCAUGACGGUACCCAAAGAAUAAGCACCGGCUAACUUCGUGCCAGCCGCCGC